CGUGUAGGCGGCUCGGAUAGUUGGAUGUGAAAGCUCCUGGCUUAACUGGGAGAGGUCGUUCAAUACUUCCGGGCUCGAGAGUGGUAGAGGGAGGUGGAAUUCCGAGUGUAGUGGUGAAAUGCGUAGAUAUUCGGAGGAACACCAGUGGCGAAAGCGACCUCCUGGACCAUUUCUGACGCUCAGACGCGAAAGCUAGGGUAGCAAACG
RNAcentral lists this ribosomal RNA (207 nucleotides) under uncultured Anaerolineaceae bacterium. RNAcentral describes it as "partial 16S ribosomal RNA". It matches the Rfam family "Bacterial small subunit ribosomal RNA", at positions 568 to 774 of the family's 1533-position model. Lineage: Bacteria; Bacillati; Chloroflexota; Anaerolineae; Anaerolineales; Anaerolineaceae. The record is from RNAcentral.